GACGAACGCNGGCGGCGUGCUUAACACAUGCAAGUCGAACGAAGAGCGAUGGAAGCUUGCUUCUAUCAAUCUUAGUGGCGAACGGGUGAGUAACGCGUAAUCAACCUGCCCUUCAGAGGGGGACAACAGUUGGAAACGACUGCUAAUACCGCAUACGAUCUAAUCUCGGCAUCGAGGAUAGAUGAAAGGUGGCCUCUACAUGUAAGCUAUCACUGAAGGAGGGGAUUGCGUCUGAUUAGCUAGUUGGAGGGGUAACGGCCCACCAAGGCGAUGAUCAGUAGCCGGUCUGAGAGGAUGAACGGCCACAUUGGGACUGAGACACGGCCCAGACUCCUACGGGAGGCAGCAGUGGGGAAUCUUCCGCAAUGGACGAAAGUCUGACGGAGCAACGCCGCGUGAGUGAUGACGGCCUUCGGGUUGU
RNAcentral lists this ribosomal RNA (421 nucleotides) under uncultured bacterium. RNAcentral's name for it is "bacterial SSU rRNA". It matches the Rfam family "Bacterial small subunit ribosomal RNA", at positions 28 to 426 of the family's 1533-position model. The record is from RNAcentral.